RNAcentral lists this long non-coding RNA (1265 nucleotides) under Capsicum annuum. RNAcentral's name for it is "long non-coding RNA (CANN_LNC006252)". The record is from RNAcentral. Lineage: Eukaryota; Viridiplantae; Streptophyta; Magnoliopsida; Solanales; Solanaceae.
GAAAUUGCAAGUGGGAGAAAGAAUCAAUUAGCAUCCCGACUAGUAUUGUUGGCAUUUGGGAAUGAAUAUGUAAUGCCGACUAUCUUUUUCUUUUAUGAUUUGACUCUACUAUUUUGUAAAGACAAAUGUACAUUAUGGUGAUUGAUAAAGUUGUGCCACUUUUCAAAAUUUGAUUCGUGCAUAUUGCACACGCGUAGAGGUAUAAUUACGUGCGCACCUUCACCUAAAUCACAAAUGACUGCACAUUUGUGAAUGUAUGUCAACUGUUGACUAAGAUCAAUCUUCCUCAAGUAGUGCAUGCCCAAUGUAAGAUGGAUGCGGAUGCUAAGAUAAGCAUGGUCAUACAAGACUAGACAAGAUUAAAAGUGAUCACAUUCGCGAUAAAGUUCAAGUAGCACAAAUUAAGGAUAACAUAAGAGAAGUCACUUGAGAUAAUUUGGUCAUGUCUUUUGUCGAGCACCAUAGGCACGGUUCCAUAGAUGUGAUCAUGGUGAGCAUAGGUGUUAAAACAGGACUAGAUAGGCCUAAAAUAACUUAGAUUGAAAUCUCGAAAGACCUACAAUCUAUUAGGAUCCAUGCAGAUUAGCAAAAACUAGGACAUUAUGGAAGAAAAGAUCUAUAUAGGCAAUACCUAUUCGUUGACAAUAUGUUUUCAUCAUAUUAACACUUCUACUUUAUAUCCUAUGCUUUUUUAGGAGUUGUUGAUCCUAAUGAAGAUUUAUAUGUUAGUGGAAUAUAAUGAACUUCUAGUACGUUUUAUUUAUCAAUUAUUAUUUUGUAUAAUGUUGGCCUGAGAUGAGUUUAUAUGGAGUAUUCAUAAAGCCGGCCACAACUUGUUUGGUAUUGAUUAUUUUUUGGUGCCUGAGAUGAGUUUAUAUGAAGUAACAAUCCCAAAUUGUUUGGGAUUGAGGAGUUGUUAUUGUAUUUAUUUUGUCUAUUUUUAAUUUGAGAUCAUCCUCAAGUUUUAUCUGCAUCUCCAUGUUAUAGGUGAAAUCUCUUGUACAACAAAAAGAACAAGAAUAUAAAUGCUAAAUUCAACAGUGUGGCAUCUUGAUCGAUGAUGUCUGAUGCAUUUGAGGUGGGAAUUGCAGGCAACCUUUCCUCGGGUUUCAUUGUAUCUCAUCAUCUUGUAUGUGGGAGACACCAGGUAUUUCAGUGGAGAGGAGAUAAUCUUGAAUUCCUAGGUUAAAUAUUUCGUCCUAUUCACUUCAUAAUCGAGUUAGAUAAGUCCUUUUUUCCUUUUCGACUUGGAGGAGUUAUGCAGA